AGGGAUCAUUGCUGGAACGCGCCCCAGGCGCACCCAGAAACCCUUUGUGAACUUAUACCUUACUGUUGCCUCGGCGCAUGCCGGCCCCCCCGGGGGCCCCUCGGAGACGAGGAGCAGGCACGCCGGCGGCCAAGUUAACUCUUGUUUUUACACUGAAACUCUGAGAAAAAACACAAAUGAAUCAAAACUUUCAACAACGGAUCUCUUGGUUCUGGCAUCGAUGAAGAACGCAGCGAAAUGCGAUAAGUAAUGUGAAUUGCAGAAUUCAGUGAAUCAUCGAAUCUUUGAACGCACAUUGCGCCCUCUGGUAUUCCGGAGGGCAUGCCUGUUCGAGCGUCAUUUCAACCCUCAAGCAUUGCUUGGUGUUGGGGCACUGCCUGUAAAAGGGCAGGCCCUGAAAUCUAGUGGCGAGCUCGCCAGGACCCCGAGCGCAGUAGUUAAACCCUCGCUCUGGAAGGCCCUGGCGGUGCCCUGCCGUUAAACCCCCAACUUCUGAAAAUUUGACCUCGGAUCAGGUAGGAAUACCCGC
RNAcentral lists this ribosomal RNA (529 nucleotides) under Diaporthe lithocarpi (nom. inval.). Its description in RNAcentral is "eukaryotic LSU rRNA". The stretch from base 186 to 339 matches the Rfam family "5.8S ribosomal RNA". Lineage: Eukaryota; Fungi; Ascomycota; Sordariomycetes; Diaporthales; Diaporthaceae. The record is from RNAcentral.